RNAcentral lists this long non-coding RNA (1888 nucleotides) under Homo sapiens (human). Its description in RNAcentral is "HSALNT0378074". The record is from RNAcentral. Lineage: Eukaryota; Metazoa; Chordata; Mammalia; Primates; Hominidae.
CUCACCCUUCCCUUCUGCUACCUACAAAAGCCCCCUGACAUAGCACUCUUGUCAUACUGAGACUAAGGUAGAAAAAGACACUUCCAAAGGGUGUCAAUGACAAGAGAGAAAUAGACAUAGAGUGGUCACUUCAUUUACCAACCCUGGAACCGCAGACCUCUGGGCUUCCUGACGAAAGCUGCCCACCAAAUAUGAACAGAUAGGAACCUCGUGAUCUUUUGGGGCUGUCAUCCUUCUCUCAGUCUGCCAGUAACUGGGAUCCUGGCAUUUAUCCUGGAGGUCCCUGAAGGUCCAAGAGGGAACAGAGGAAAUCUGAUUGGCACAGGGGCCGCAGUGACUGUGUCCAGUCCUUCCUCACCCCGCUGCAGAGUCAGUCCAGGAGGCCUUUACCCACAGCACUGCCACCUCCCUCCACGACCCCUGUCUUUCUCUUCCCCAGAUUAAACGCUCCCACUUCUCUCCAUUCUUCUUUCUCCACCCCCAGGCCCAUUUCUGCCUCGGUUGCCUGCCUCCAACCACAAUCCAGUUUUUUGGCUCCCAGAGACAGACAUGCCCAGAUCUGAACACCACCCACCUGGAUAAAGAAAAUGGGUACGGCCAAGACCAUAGACCUAGUGAUUGUCAGAUGAACAAUUAGACCCACAGAACCAUCCAAGCUACAGAGGACGCAUUCUGCCUUCCCUUGGAUCCUGUGGUUUGAGGAUGGAGGUCUAGGACCGUGGCAGGCUUUUUGUCCCAUGAGGGAAGGCCAUGGAGCUGAGGAAGGGGAAGAACACACACACCUAAUGGAAUCUCGAGAGAAAGUUCAGACAUCAAAAGACAGAAGCGACAGAGACCCAGAUGGAGUCUCACCCAGCCUGGAGUACAGUAGUAUGAUCUGCAACCUUUGCCUCCCAGGUUCAGGCGAUUCUCCUGUCUCAGCCUCCGGAGUAUCUGGGAUUACAGGCACGUGCCACCACGCCCGGCUAAUUUUUUGUAUUUUUAGUAGAGAUGGGUUUCACCGUGUUAGCCAGGAUGGUCUCGAACUCCUGACCUCGUGAUCUACCCGCCUUGGCCUCCCAAAGUGCUGGGAUUACAGGCAUGAGCUACCGUGCUCGGCCAUGCCUGGCUAAUUUAUAUAUACAUAUAUAUAUAUAUAUAUAUUUUUUUUUUUUUUUUUUUUUUUUUGAGACAGAGUCUUGCUCUGUCACCCAGGUUGGAGUGCAGUGGCAUGAUCUCGGCUCACUGCAAGCUCGCCUCCCAGGUUCACGCCAUUCUCCUGCCUCAGCCUCCUGAGUAGCUGGGACUACAGGCGCCCGCAUGACGCCCGGCUAAUUUUUUGUAUUUUUAGUAGAGACGGGGUUUCACUGUGUUAGCCAGGAUGGUCUCGAUCUCCUGACCUCGUGAUCUGCCCACCUCAGCCUCCGAAAGUGCUGGGAUUACAGACAUGAGCCACCGCACCCAGCCUUAUAUAUAUAUUUUUUAUUAGUGAAGAGGUUUCGCCAUAUUGGCCAGACUGGUCUCGAACUCCUGACCUCAGGUGAUCCACCCACCUCGGCCUCCCAAAGUGCUGGGAUUACAGGUGGGAGCCACCGCACCCUGCCUAAAAUGCAAAAGAUUUUGAAUGGCGAGAAUGGCGACAUGAUGCCACAAGUGGAAAAUUCCACACCUGGCUGCAUGUAAUGGGUUGAAGUCAAAAUGCAGUCAAAAACUUUGUUUCAUGUACAAAAUUAUUAAAAACAUUGUAUAAAAUCACCUUCAGACUAUGUGUAUGUGAAACCUAAGUGAAUUUAAUGGCUAGACUUCAGUUGCAUUCCCAAGAUCUCUCAUUAUGUAUAUGCAAAUAUUUUGAAAUUCAACCUGGUUCCACACAUUUUAGAUAAGGGAUACUCAAGCUGUAAUUAACAAA